Ursus americanus (American black bear) is the source of this 105-nucleotide ribosomal RNA. Lineage: Eukaryota; Metazoa; Chordata; Mammalia; Carnivora; Ursidae. The record is from Ensembl.
AUCUACAGCCAUACCACCCUGAACAUGCCCGAUCUUGUCUGAUCUCAGAAGCAAAGUAGGCCAACACAGAUUAUUUUCUAAUGUAUUAAUACUGGACUGUACUAC